ACGGGGUGCAGCAGGCGCGAAACCUCCGCAAUACGCGAAAGUGUGACGGGGUUACCCAAAGUGUUCAAUUUUGAACUGUGGUAGGUGAGUAAUGUUCCCUACUAGAAAGGAGAGGGCAAGGCUGGUGCCAGCCGCCGCGGUAAAACCAGCUCUUCAAGUGGUCGGGAUAAUUAUUGGGCUUAAAGUGUCCGUAGCCGGUUUAGUAAGUUCCUGGUAAAAUCGGGUAGCUUAACUAUCUAUAUGCUAGGAAUACUACUAUACUAGAGGGCGGGAGAGGUCUGAGGUACUGCAGGGGUAGGGGUGAAAUCUUAUAAUCCUUGUUGGACCACCAGUGGCGAAGGCGUCAGACUGGAACGCGCCUGACGGUGAGGGACGAAAGCCAGGGGAGCGAACCGGAUUAGAUACCCGGGUAAUCCUGGCCGUAAACGAUGCAUACUAGGUGAUGGCACGGCCAUGAGCCGUGUCAGUGCCGUAGGGAAACCGUUAAGUGUGCCGCCUGGGAAGUACGGUCGCAAGGCUAAAACUUAAAGGAAUUGGCGGGGGAGCACCACAAGGGGUGAAGCCUGCGGUUCAAUUGGACUCAACGCCGGAAAACUUACCAGGGGAGACAGCAGUAUGACGGUCAGGUUGACGACCUUACCUAACGAGCUGAGAGGAGGUGCAUGGCCGUCGCCAGUUCGUGCCGUGAGGUAUCCUGUUAAGUCAGGCAACGAACGAGAUCCGCACCUUUAUUUGCCACCAAGAAGUCACGACUUCGUUGGGA
RNAcentral lists this ribosomal RNA (763 nucleotides) under uncultured archaeon. RNAcentral's name for it is "bacterial SSU rRNA". It matches the Rfam family "Archaeal small subunit ribosomal RNA", at positions 325 to 1092 of the family's 1478-position model. The record is from RNAcentral.